UGGGGAAUCUUGCACAAUGCGCGAAAGCGUGAUGCAGCAACGCCGCGUGGGGGAAGAAGGCCUUCGGGUUGUAAACCCCUUUCAGUUGGGACGAAGCUUCUGCGGUGAACAGCCGUACGGAGUGACGGUACCUUCAGAAGAAGCCCCGGCUAACUACGUGCCAGCAGCCGCGGUAAUACGUAGGGGGCAAGCGUUGUCCGGAAUUAUUGGGCGUAAAGCGCGUGUAGGCGGCUCGGUAAGUCUGCUGUGAAAGUCCAGGGCUCAACCCUGGAAUGCCGGUGGAUACUGUCGAGCUCGAGUCCGGAAGAGGCGAGUGGAAUUCCUGGUGUAGCGGUGAAAUGCGCAGAUAUCAGGAGGAACACCAAUGGCGAAGGCAGCUCGCUGGGACGGUACUGACGCUGAGACGCGAAAGCGUGGGGAGCAAACA
RNAcentral lists this ribosomal RNA (427 nucleotides) under uncultured Conexibacter sp. Its description in RNAcentral is "bacterial SSU rRNA". It matches the Rfam family "Bacterial small subunit ribosomal RNA", at positions 355 to 774 of the family's 1533-position model. Lineage: Bacteria; Bacillati; Actinomycetota; Thermoleophilia; Solirubrobacterales; Conexibacteraceae. The record is from RNAcentral.